RNAcentral lists this non-coding RNA (28 nucleotides) under Rattus norvegicus (Norway rat). Lineage: Eukaryota; Metazoa; Chordata; Mammalia; Rodentia; Muridae. The record is from RNAcentral.
UGACUGUUGGCAACAAUGCCCAGGGCUC